Molecule: non-coding RNA, 620 nt
Organism: Biomphalaria pfeifferi
Lineage: Eukaryota; Metazoa; Mollusca; Gastropoda; Planorbidae
Source: the annotation of a GenBank genome assembly
UCUUUAAUCUUCGUAUUCGAAGACAUCGCCGCUGUUCUCUCUGACUACUACUACAAUGAACAGAUAUAAAAUAGUUAUAUAAUAAACAUUACUAGUAACCAACAACAUUGCCUAAAUCUGUAAGAUGCGAAAACCUUUAAGGCAAAUUUGAUGAAAGGGGUCCCAGCGCGAUGUUUGAGCGGUAAAGAGUUCGGCUUCUGAAAUUGGGGUCCCGGGUUCGAAUCCUGGUGAAGACUGGGAUUUUUAAGGGAUCUUUAGGUGCCUCUGAUUUCACCCAGCUCUGAUGGGUACCUGACGUUAGUUGGGGAAAGUAAACGCGGUUGGACGUUGUGCUGGCCAUAUGACACCCUCGUUAACCGUAGGCGACAGAAACGGAUGAUCUCUACAUCAUGUGCCCUAUAAAUCGCAAGAUCUGAAAGGGUAACAAAACAUUAUACCCCUUAUUACAAAGCUUAUAUAAAAUCUCACUUUGUCUGUUUGGUAAAAAGUUUAUACAUGUUAUAUCUCCCACACCUCUUCUCGGAUCAAGAUGAAACCUUGUACAACUAUUUAUUGUUAUAGACAAGACAUAAAUACAUUUUAAAAAAUUAACCAAUUAAUCAAGUAAGUACUGGUUAUUA